Molecule: ribosomal RNA, 718 nt
Filed under: uncultured bacterium
Lineage: Bacteria
Description: bacterial SSU rRNA
Rfam family: Bacterial small subunit ribosomal RNA
Source: RNAcentral
AGAGUUUGAUCCUGGCUCAGAACGUACGCUGGCGGCACGCCUAACACAUGCAAGUCGAACGAAGUAGCAAUACUUAGUGGCAGACGGGUGAGUAACAUGUGGGUAUCUACCCUUUGGCCUGGAAUAACACGAGGAAACUUGUGCUAAUACCGGAUAAGUCUUUACGGAGAAAGCUUUAUGCACCAUUGGAUGAGCCCGCACUUGAUUAGUUUGUUGGUGGGGUAAUGGCCUACCAAGACUGUGAUCAAUAGCUGAUUUGAGAGGAUGAUCAGCCACAUUGGGACUGAGACACGGCCCAAACUCCUACGGGAGGCAGCAGUGGGGAAUCUUGCACAAUGGAGGAAACUCUGAUGCAGCGAUGCCGCGUGAGUGAAGAAGGCCCUUGGGUUGUAAAGCUCUUUCGUCGGGGAAGAAAAUGACUGUACCCGAAUAAGAAGGUCCGGCUAACUUCGUGCCAGCAGCCGCGGUAAUACGAAGGGACCUAGCGUAGUUCGGAAUUACUGGGCUUAAAGAGUUCGUAGGUGGUUGAAAAAGUUGGUGGUGAAAUCCCAGAGCUUAACUCUGGAACUGCCAUCAAAACUUUUCAGCUAGAGUUUGAUAGAGGAAAGCAGAAUUUCUAGUGUAGAGGUGAAAUUCGUAGAUAUUAGAAAGAAUACCAAUUGCGAAGGCAGCUUUCUGGAUCAUUACUGACACUGAGGAACGAAAGCAUGGGUAGCGA